RNAcentral lists this ribosomal RNA (254 nucleotides) under uncultured bacterium. RNAcentral describes it as "partial 16S ribosomal RNA". It matches the Rfam family "Bacterial small subunit ribosomal RNA", at positions 524 to 776 of the family's 1533-position model. The record is from RNAcentral.
UACGGAGGGUGCAAGGCGUUGUCCGGAUUUAUUGGGUUUAAAGGGUGCGUAGGUGGUCUGAUAAGUCCGGGGUGAAAGCCCACAGCUCAACUGUGGAACUGCCCUGGAUACUGUCAGACUUGAGGGUAGACGAGGUUGGCGGAAUAGAAGGUGUAGCGGUGAAAUGCAUAGAUACCUUCUAGAACCCCGAUUGCGUAGGCAGCUGACUAGGCUACACCUGACACUGAGGCACGAAAGCGUGGGGAGCGAACAGG